This 71-nucleotide transfer RNA is filed under the name Marmota marmota marmota (Alpine marmot). It matches the Rfam family "tRNA". Rfam says of the family: Transfer RNA (tRNA) molecules are approximately 80 nucleotides in length. Their secondary structure includes four short double-helical elements and three loops (D, anti-codon, and T loops). Further hydrogen bonds mediate the characteristic L-shaped molecular structure. tRNAs have two regions of fundamental functional importance: the anti-codon, which is responsible for specific mRNA codon recognition, and the 3' end, to which the tRNAs corresponding amino acid is attached (by aminoacyl-tRNA synthetases). tRNAs cope with the degeneracy of the genetic code in two manners: having more than one tRNA (with a specific anti-codon) for a particular amino acid; and 'wobble' base-pairing, i.e. permitting non-standard base-pairing at the 3rd anti-codon position. RNAcentral also lists the same sequence under 1 other name. Lineage: Eukaryota; Metazoa; Chordata; Mammalia; Rodentia; Sciuridae. The record is from Rfam by way of RNAcentral.
GUGGUUGUGGCUCAGCGGUAGAGCGCUUGCCUAGCAUGUGUGAGGCACUGGGUUCAAUCCUCAGCACCACA